Molecule: ribosomal RNA, 493 nt
Filed under: uncultured Actinomycetes bacterium
Lineage: Bacteria; Bacillati; Actinomycetota; Actinomycetes
Description: bacterial SSU rRNA
Rfam family: Bacterial small subunit ribosomal RNA
Source: RNAcentral
GCAGCACGCCGCGUGCGGGAAGAAGGCUUUCGGGCUGUAAACCGCUUUCAGUGGGAACGAAACUGACGGUACCCACAGAAGAAGGAGCGGCCAACUAUGUGCCAGCAGCCGCGGUGAUACAUAGGCUCCAAGCGUUGUCCGGAUUUAUUGGGCGUAAAGAGCUCGUAGGCGGUUGAGUAAGUCGGGUGUGAAAACUUUGGGCUUAACCCAAAGAUGCCACUCGAUACUGUUUAACUAGAGUUCGGUAGGGGAGCGGGGAAUUCCUUGUGUAGCGGUGAAAUGCGCAGAUAUAAGGAGGAACACCGGUGGCGAAGGCGCCGCUCUGGGCCGAUACUGACGCUGAGGAGCGAAAGCGUGGGGAGCAAACAGGAUUAGAUACCCUGGUAGUCCACGCGGUAAACGGUGGUCACUAGGUGUGGGUCUCUAACCAAUGAGAUCCGCGCCGUCGCUAACGCAUUAAGUGACCCGCCUGGGGAGUACGGUCGCAAGACUA